Molecule: unclassified non-coding RNA, 321 nt
Filed under: uncultured bacterium
Lineage: Bacteria
Description: contains 16S-23S intergenic spacer region
Source: RNAcentral
GCGACCGCAGAGUCGAGCCGGAGUAUGCGGCCAAGCGGCUCGAUGACGCGGGCGUGGUCGUCCGCCGCGGGGACGCAGGCGUCGCGGUGCCGGGCGCUUCGUCGCGCAUCCGAAUCGGGGGCCAAGUCGGCAAGACGAUGAAAUCCGGCGAAUGGGGACCCAUCUACGCGAUCGACCGCCCGGGAGAGACGUGGCACGGGUGCCCGAGCAUCGACCACGAUUCGGCGCUCAUCGCCUUCCGCGAGGACGGCCGCGUGUUCCUCGUCGCCACGCCGGCGUCCGCGUGGUCGUGGACGGAGUGCCUCGUGUUCGACACCGAGA